GCUGUGUCCUGGCAGCCACGUUCCCCCGUGGCCAGUCCUGAGAGCCAGGUGCAGCCCUCACUUUCUCCCGGAGCAGAGAAGGGGCCGUGGGAUAUGAUCCUGUCGCCCGCCCUGAGCGUGUGGAACUACGGCCCAGGACCACCCGCCAGCUUCCCUCACAAUCCUGGCGCACGUGCGGAUCUGCGGCUCCUCGACUGAGCGACGAUGGUGUCGUGAAUACUGCUACGCCUGAGGUUCGGUCUCCCGCAGUGCAAAGCCCACAAAACUGGAGGCCCCAUUGGCUGAGGCCAGUAGCUGUUGGGCAAUCAAGCGCUCAUAAAGUGACCUAAGGACAAGAAGGAUUCCUAUGUCCAGACACCUCCGGAUACUCCCAUGGAAGCGGGCCAGUGUGACGUGGAACAGGCUCUGGACUGGGAGUCCAAAGAGCAAAAGUCUAAGCCUGUUCUUCGUCUGAUUUUCCGGAUGUUCCUACACAGGGCCUAACACAUCUAUCAGACUCUCCUAAAUGCUCGACACUGUGGGUGCCCCAGGUUGCCCACAGCACCCUGGCAUGAAUCCAUUAUCCUCACCUUCUGGAUAAGGACGGUGAGGUUCAGCAAGGUCAGACAGCUCAUCCAGGGCCACACGGAUGGAGUUCAGCCCCUGGACUCCGAUUCCUUCUCUCUGCAAGCUGAAGAUACCUCCUUGGGCCCAUGCUUUCCCAGUAAGGAAGUGAGCAACAGGAAGGGCCACAGAAGAGAGCCUUACAAGCCCUUCCUCCCUCCCAGAUGUCUUUUCUUUGAUCUAUGUGUUAUGUUUCAUUGUAAUCAAAUUUAUUGCAACUUUUUUUUUAAAUCAGGGAAUUUAAUCUAAAAUCUGGAUUUCUCCUUUGUCAUGAAAAAGAGCCUGGCAGGGGCCAGCGCUGCACCCUAGCAGGUAAAGCCAGUGCCUGCAGUGCCAGCAUCCCAUAUGAGCGCCGGUUUGAGUCCUGGCUGCUCCACCUCCUACCCAGCUCUCUGCUAUGGCCUGGGAAAGCAGUAGAAGAUGGCCCAAGUCCUUGGUCCCCUGCACCCACAUGGGAGACCCGGAAGAAGUCCCUGGCUCCUGGCUUCGCAUUGGCGCAGCUCCAGCCGUUGCGGCCAUUUGGGGAGUGAACCAGUGGAUAGAAGACUUCUCUCUCUCCACCUCUCCUCUCUCUGUGUAAUUUCAAAUAAGUAAAUGAAUCUAAAAAAAAAAAAAAA
Oryctolagus cuniculus (rabbit) is the source of this 1220-nucleotide long non-coding RNA. RefSeq lists it as uncharacterized. The record is from RefSeq and is a predicted model, not a curated record. NCBI's taxonomy places the organism in Eukaryota, Metazoa, Chordata, Mammalia, Lagomorpha, Leporidae.